RNAcentral lists this ribosomal RNA (493 nucleotides) under uncultured bacterium. RNAcentral's name for it is "partial 16S ribosomal RNA". It matches the Rfam family "Bacterial small subunit ribosomal RNA", at positions 28 to 507 of the family's 1533-position model. The record is from RNAcentral.
GAUGAACGCUAGCUACAGGCUUAACACAUGCAAGUCGUGGGGCAGCGGAUACUUAGCUUGCUAAGUAUGCCGGCGACCGGCGCACGGGUGAGUAACGCGUACCGAACCUGCCCAUCACACAGGGAUAGGCUUGCGAAAGCAAGAUUAAUAUCUGAUGGUCUCAAUUUUAUGCAUGUAUGAUUGAGUAAAGCCUUCGGGCGGUGAUGGAUGGCGGUGCGUCCCAUUAGGAAGUUGGCGGGGUAACGGCCCACCAAUCCUUCGAUGGGUAGGGGUUCUGAGAGGAAGGUCCCCCACAGUGGAACUGAGAUACGGGCCAAACUCCUACGGGAGGCAGCAGUGAGGAAUAUUGGUCAAUGGGCGAGAGCCUGAACCAGCCAAGUAGCGUGCGGGAUGAAGGCCCUUGUGGUCGUAAACCGCUUUUAUCAGUGAAUAAAGUGCACCACGUGUGGUGUCAUUGCAGGUAGCUGAAGAAAAAGGACCGGCUAAUUCCGUG